UACGUAGGGGGCAAGCGUUAUCCGGAAUUACUGGGUGUAAAGGGUGAGUAGGCGGCAUGGUAAGCCAGAUGUGAAAGCCUUGGGCUUAACCCGAGGAUUGCAUUUGGAACUAUCAAGCUAGAGUACAGGAGAGGAAAGCGGAAUUCCUAGUGUAGCGGUGAAAUGCGUAGAUAUUAGGAGGAACACCAGUGGCGAAGGCGGUCUGCUGGACAGCAACUGACGCUGAGGCGCGAAAGCGUGGGGAGCAAACAGG
Molecule: ribosomal RNA, 253 nt
Filed under: uncultured bacterium
Lineage: Bacteria
Description: partial 16S ribosomal RNA
Rfam family: Bacterial small subunit ribosomal RNA
Source: RNAcentral